UGAGCCAUGAUCUUCAUGUAUUCCAGUCUGGGCAACAGAGCAGGACCCUGUCACCAAAAAAGAUAUAAAAACAAACCCAGCUGCGGCCCAUUUCGGGUCCUCAUUUGCUCUGUAACUUGCCAAGUUUUUCUUUUUAAAAAAAUCUCUUAUAUUUCCUGUUUUUCUAAAUAAGAUUAAGAGAUUCCAACAUACUUUAAAGAAUAUUUAUCUAAUAAUAUUCUUAAAGAAUAGAACACAUAUUCCGAUUAGCAUUGAAUGUUUCUUAAUGAAUAAUAUUACAAGAAAUGAAAUAAGACUAUUAUUCAUGGUUAACCAAUAACAAGAGUGUGUUUUUCUUUCUUCACAACUUAAAGUUAUAAAGUGGAAAGUGAGUAUAAGUUUAGAAAUUUUUAAAUAUUUUGGUAGCCAUAAAAUCUAGAAGUAAGAACAAAAGUUGUUCAUAGAGUAUUAUAAUGGGAAUAAACAGCUAUGUGAAAGGAAAAAAAUAUAAACUUUUUUUCAUUUUAAUGUAAAGGUGUGUACCUAUCUAAAAUUCUUAACACUUAUUUAGUCCCCCAAAUUAUUUCUUUGUAUUUCCUUGUAGGUCUCCUUGGGAAACUUGUUCCAAUUCAACUAUUAGACAUAUUGUUAUUAACAUUAACUUACUUUCUUACCCUGUAAAUAUAACUUUUUUUCAGUAGUUUUAUCAUCUGUGAUGAGAUUUGUUCAGUGGUUUGUUAGUGUGAUGAAGAAGAGUGUGGUUUAGGAAGGUUGGUUCACAACUAAGCAAAGUGGCUUCAGAAAACUCACUUGGGUCUCUAUUUCCCAGGUCUGGCCCUUAGCCUUGGAGAUCCAGGUACUUGGUUUUGCCAGUGCUCAGUGAUGAGCAGGCUCUGGGAAUGUGGGAGCAGUCAUGCGGCCCAGACUCACCAGAGAUUUGCAUAUAAAGAUUUGAAUAUAAAAUAAACUCCGGUUUAUUAACUUGUACUAAGGAAGAAAAGGCCAAGGAGAAAGAGCGGCAGUGGAGACGCACACUGAGGGCAUCCCUCUCCUAGCUUGGGUGGGUUGCUGAUAUUCUCAAGUCCUCAGUCCUCAUCUAUACAUGGGGAUAAUGAUAGGACCCAACCUCACAAGAUUGUGGGAGACUUAAUGAGGUAAUGUAUAGAAAAUGCAUUACCACUCUGCUUGUCACUUUCUAAACACUCAAAUAUUAGGAGAAGAAAAUAUUUUUCGCUCCUUUGGUGGGUGCUUUCUCUCUCAGAAUGAGAUGUUUCCUGGAUGUGUGUGGAGUCAGACUAAAAUGGAAUCAGGAGAUUGUAAUGAAGGAGUUCCUGGCUUGAGCCAUCCUUUCACACUACAGAGACAAAUUUUCCAGGGGCACGCUGUUUACUGGGAGCUCCUCACCUGAACCAUGCUAAAGACACAUUUAUCAGAUUUGUUUUGCUAAAUAUCGUUUUCAUACACUUCGUGCUGAUCAUUGGCUUUUCAGCUGGCAUGACCUUUCUUUAGCUCUGUUAACACCACUGUUAACAAACAGCUGGUACAGAUGUGGCAAUAUCUUUGCCAGUGCCUGUGGCAGACAUCAAGUGUCAACUGGGUUCUCUUCCUGCUGAGCCUGAACUCACCCUCCAAAUUCUUCUCAUCACUGACCUCCAGGCAGCCACUACCAAUGGCUCAUACUUUUUACUGGAAGUAAAAUGUAUUUGUGAUCCGGGGAAUAGGCCACAAAGAAGUCAUCAGUCCCUGCUUAUAGCUGAAAACAUAUUAUUUCUCAUCAGUGUGCUGUUUCUAUUAAUCAAGUUUUCACCAUAAUAAGGGUGAUAACUUUCAAACCUUCCACAACCUCACAAAACAUGAGCAGAUAAAGAUAAAAGUUAUAUUGGUGAACUCCUGAGUUCCACUCUCAGGUUUUGUGCAUGUAAGGGAGCUUGUGCUUUUAACAUUUCCAUUUACUAGCUUUUCUGACCUUUUCAUAAAAUGUGCAUUAAGAGUGAUUAAUUAAACAAGCCAUAAUAUGGAAUCCAUAUUAUGGAAUAUUGCUUAGUGAUAAAAGGAAUGAAAUACAGAUGUAUACAACAAACUGGAUCUAUCUCAAGGGCAUUAUGUUGUGUUGAAAAGGCGAAUCUCAAAAUGGUACAUACUGUAUGAGUCCAUUUGUUCAUAUUCUUGCAAUGACAAAAUUAGAGAGAUGGAAGAGAGAUUAGUGGCUUCCAGUGGUUUGAGGAGGGGGAGGAGGAAGGUGGCCAUGACUAUUAAAGGGCAGCACAAGGAAUCCUUUUAAUAGAACUGUUCUGUAGCUUGACUAUGGUAGUGAGCAAAAGAAUCUACAUGUGUUAUAAAAUCACAUUUAAAAUACAAACCUACACAAGUGCACAAGUGCACAUAAAACAGGUGAAAUCUGAAUAGGUGGGUGUAUUGUAUUGAUGCAGGAUUUUUCUUCUCAGUCACUUUGCAAGGCAGCUGGCGUGCCCCAGCUAACCAAUGUUAUAGCUUGUACCCACAUUCAGCAGUUCCUGAGCUCUUGUACCACGCCCAAGAAGAAUGAGGAUAUGUUGGACAUUGAAGUAUAAAGAGGGCAGAAAAGAAUUUUAUUGAGUGAUGGAACAGCUCUCAGCAGAGAGGGGAUGCAGGGUGGGUGGGGUGGUUCCCCUACCAGAAGGCAGGAAAGUCCCCUGUGUGGCUGGGUCUGGGACCUUUUAUGGGCUCAGAAUGGGGAGUGUGUGCUGAUUGGUUUGUGAGUAUGCUGACAGGGUAAAGCAAAGACAUCACUCAGAUGUGGGCACAACAGUGUAGAAAAACCAAUUAGGAAAGGGUCGGUAUAUGUAAAAUAGGUGAAAGGUGGAAACAGAUCAGAGGAAAGCACAUCAAAGGGGAAGAUAAGUUCUCAAUCUGGUCCAAGGAUUUAACUUUCAGGCUUUAAACUGUCUUCUGCUUGGUGGUGGGAUUUCACUGGGAACCUGCCCCUAUCAGCCUAGGCAUUUGGCUGCCUUCUGCCACUCUAAGUAUCAAUGUCAAUUUCCUGAUUGUGAUAUUGUACAAGAUGUUAACACUGGAAUAGGAAAUUGGGUGAAGGGUAUGUGGGGUCUAUUAUUUCUUACAACUACAAUUAUCUCAAAAUAUUUUUUAAAAGAUCUGCAAUGAGCAUUUCAAGAAUUGCAAUUGCAUCUAUUUCAAUUGAGUAUCAAAUAAAGGCAAUUAUUCCUUCAAAAUAGGAAAGACUGCUGCUCAAAUAUUUUCAAACUCAAGGUAGCUGUAUUCUUAAAAUUUUGUAAUAUUUUUACUUUGAAGACAGUCCCCAAAGAUGUAUUUACUCCCUCAUCUGGCCUGACUUAUCAAUAUUAUAACAGAAAACUGGUUUAAAAAAUUUAUUUUAGUACAUGUGCAGGUUUAUUUAGUACAUAUGCAGGUUUGUUGUAUAGGUAAACUCAUAUUACAGGGGUUCGUACAGAUUAUUUCAUCAACCAGGUACUAAGCCUAGUACCCAAUAGUUACUUUUUCUGCUUCUCUCUCUCCUCCCAACCUCCACCCUGAAGUAGGCCCCAAUGUCUAUUGUUCCCUUCUUUGUGUUCAUGAGUUCUCUUCAUUUAGCUUCCGCUUAUAAGUGAGAACAUGCAGUAUUUGGUCUUCUAUAACAGAAAACUGUUUAUCCAACAUUCUAUUAGCCUGAGCACCUUAUUUAAAACUUGACAGAAUGUUUAUGCUAUUUGUUUUAUUUUCUGUUUUAAUAUGAAACUGUAAAAUAACUAAGCAAAAGUGAGAUCUGGUGCUUUUGUCCCCUUAAAAAUGGGAGGUAGGGGGAGUAUUCUGCAGUACUAUAUAUUUUCAGCCAGAGAUGGCAAACAUGCAGCAAGUAUGUUUCCACUUAGCCCUGAUUCUCCAGUCUAUGACAGACAUCAGAUUGAUCAUUGCACAGAAUUUUCUGAAGAUCUUACUUCCUCAGAAUCCUUCUCAACACACACUCAAGGUAGCCAUUAACAGUAAGUUGCCAUUGACACAAGAUGGAACCCCCGAGUCAGCAUUUAGGUACUAAUUCUCCUUCUCAGAGUAUGGGACUUUCUAGAGUACUCUAUCCCCUGUCCAUGCCAAGUAAAAAGGAUUUUACGCAUUAACGUUUUGUUUCCUUUCCCAGUUUCACCUCUUCUAAGCAAGAUUCACAUGCUUGCUGAAUGUUUUUAGCUUGCAUAAACAAAAAGUCGACAAAUUGAGUAAUUUUGCAUUAAAAUACAACAUUACUGAAAAAGUAGUACCAUAUACAGCUGGUAAACUGUGAACAGAUUUUAAAGUCCUAUAUAGUUCAAGCAGAAAGGGAACACAACUGGCCAGCAUGGAGAAAAAUGAGUUCUCCUGGGCAAGUAUAUAUUUUUAAAAAGGCAUUUGUCCCUUUUUCCAACAAUUAAAGUAGCAACCUUAAGUGUUAAAGAUUAUCAGUAUCUAGAUGCUGACACUAGUUACUUGAUUUGAUAGUAAAGGGGUCUUUUAGUCCAAAAGCAAGAGAAAUGGGUGAUUUUAAUUUAUUUUCUUUACAUGUACUCUAUCCAGACUAGUAUAAGGAAAGCAAUAAAAACUAACACAUCAUAGAAUGGUUUACCUGAAAGAGAUAAUUCAUCUACUUCAAAGCCCCUGAGUACCUACUGUGUUAGAGCCACAGUUUCCCAACUGUGUGCCUAAUUUAAAUUUUAGCUUUGGAAUGCUUUAAAUUUCCCAGGAAAACGAAGUGAAAUCUGUCAGAUGCUGAAUGAGCUUAAGGUACUUCACACUUUCAACCUCUGGCCACGUGUAUUAGUUUGUUCUCAUGUGCUAUAAAGAAAUACCUGAGACUGAGUAGUUUAUAAAGAAAAGAGAUUUAAUUGGCCCACGGUUCUGCAGGCUGUACAGGAAUCAUGGCAGCAUCUUCUGGGGAAGCCUCAGAAAACUUACAAUCGUGGCUGAAUGUGAAAGGGGAGCCAGCACUUGACACAGCCAAGCAGGAGGAAGAAAGGUGGCGCAGAGGUGCCACACACUUUUGAACAACCAGAUCCCAUAAUAACUCAGUAUCACCAGAACAUCACCGAAGAGAUGGUGCUAAACCAUUCACGAGAACUCCGACCCCACGAUCCAAUCACCUCCCACCAGGCUCCCUCUCCAACACUGGGGAUUACAACUGAACAUCAGAUAUGGGCAGGGACACAAAUCCAAACCAUAUUACCAUGCCACAUUCCUUUAGAUGAUGUCAUAUCCUUGCAAAGCCGAGUUUUAGAGGCUUACUGGGAUGAAAUGCAAGCACAGUCCAAAAUGUAGAAAAAAUGUACAGAAAAAUGUAGAAUGAGAAAUGAAGAAGGCAGUGUUCUACCCAGGGCUCAGCAAGCAACAUACCCCUCAUUAGUAAAUAAUUAUGGUUAGUUAAAAAUACAAUUCGGUUGUUAUUUUUCUUUCAAUUUAUGUGUAUUUUUUCAAACAACUACUAAGUUAUUAAGGACAUAAAUGCUCAAGUUACUCGAACCUAACUACUUAAUGAAUGAAACUGUUAGGUAUUUCUGUUUUAUGAAAAUAUUACUUAAACAUCAAAUGAAUUUGGGAACCUCUGUCCUAGGGCAUAGGGGAGCAUAUUUCAUCAUGUUAUUUCAUUUACUCCUCAUAAAAUCCCAUAAGAUAGGUAUAAUCAGCCUAAUUUUAUACUUGAAGAAAUUGAGAUUUACAGAGUUUUAGUGACUUGCCCAAAUCUACACCACUGGUAGGUGACUGGGGCUACAGGGGCUAAGUGACAUGCCUAAAAAUUCACAGCAAGUCAGAGGCAGAAAUAAAACAAACAAAAUCCUGGUGUCCUGAUUCUCCUCCCAGGAGAAUCCCUUUUACAAAGCUGUACUCUCUCUCCAAAUCCUCCCACGCCUUCUCUCUUCUGAGUCUGAAUGUACAGUAUGAAAAGAUAGACUUCCAUGCUACACAUCUUAUUUAACUACGGGUGUAUUUAUGCUGCCUUAAUAGCUGCCCCACUUGAUUUUGAGUAUACGAGGAAAAUGUACAAAAUACUAUGACUGAGGAUUUUUGUUCAGUCUGAAUAAAUGCUAAAACAAUAUUAAAACAACUUUAGGCUCCUGUAACCGAGGAGGCUGUGAGGUCUUACAGAGAAUAUUACCCUCUCCUCGGGUUUCCUGUGGCUAGAUGGCUGAUCCUGCAUUUCAGGGAAUUGGACACUUGGGAUCUAUUUUCAACCUGAUGAACUCCAAUUGAACACUAAAGAGAGUCUAGAUUUUCCCUUCAGCCUUCACAGAAAUGAUCCCUGAUACCAUCUUUGUAACCCAGAGGGGCGGGCAGUAUUAAAACCCAAGGUCCAAUGAAUGCUGAUAGAACCUUUACAAGGUUUGACACAUUGGUCUCCACUGUAAUGGGUAUUUAAAACACAGCUUUCUCGGGCUCAGUGAGUUUUUGCUUUGCCUUUGUUCAGUGGCAUUUAACAUGCAGCCUUAUGAACAGCACGUUAAACAGUCAGCCUUUGUGCCUUUGGGCUCAUUUCAAUAGGUUUAUAGAAAUUUAAUUUUUUAAAGAAAAUUCAUUACCGAAGUUGUGUGAUUAUGACUCACAUUUAAACAAAAAUUCUUAUCCAAGGUCGAAUCUUUUUUCAAUUUGAAUAGCUUUCGUUUGUUCUACCAUUCUGCUAGAAACUAGGGAUUCAAAGGGGAACUAGCACAGAGACCCCCCUCCUAGAAAUGGAAGUCAUGUCAAUGAAAAGUCACACUCGUGGUAGUUGUCAUAAUAAGGCAUUUACAAGCUCUGAUGGUGGCAGCAAGGAAAGAAUAACGAGUUCCACCUAAAGGAUGCUACCAAGGCAACGUACAUAGAGAAGGCGAUGAUUAUGUUUUAUCCCGAAGCACAAGUAGGAGUUUUGCUGGGUGAACAUGUGAGAAAGGGAAUUCAGAGCAGAGAGAAGAGUGUGCUCAGAAACGAGAGGCUGAAACAGUGCGCGAUUAGAAAGGAUGCAAGUGGUUGAAUGUUACUGGACUAUGAAGUGUCAGAGAGAGAGCAACCAGUAAAGCCAGUGGGUAGAUUAGGUCAUGAUAAUAAGUGGUCCCCUAAGCCAUGCAAGCCUGUGGGUUUUACCAGAAAAUGUGCUGAUUUUAGGCAGGGGCAUGACAUGAUUAGGUUUGCAAACUAGAAAACUCAUUCCACCAAUAGUGUGUAGAGUAGCUUGGAACAGGUAAGAUACCAAAAACAGGAAGGAUCUCUUGGGAUGGUGUUUAGUAAACACUGUUUACAUGGUGAAACCUUACUAAUUUAGACUCGUUUUUGAAAAUUUGUGGUGCUUUAGUGCUCAAACCUUUUCCUACUAGUCUAAACGACUUCUCCACAUGAACACAGAUUGUAGUGCUUCGCUUUCCAGUACACACAUGCUGGUCCUACUCAAAAGAAGUAAAGGCCGGGCGCGGUGGCUCACGCCUGUAAUCCCAGCACUUUGGCAGGCCGAGGCGGGCGGAUCAAGAGGUUAGAAGAUCGAGACCAUACUGGAGAACACGGUGAAACCCCGUCUCUGCUAAAAAUACAAAAAAAAUUAGCUGGGCGUGGUGGCGGGCGCCUGUAGUCCCAGCUACUCGGGAGACUGAGUCAGGAGAAUGGCGUGAACCUGGGAGGCGGAGCUUGCAGUGAGCCGAGAUCGCGCCACUGCACUCCAGCCUGGGCGACACAGAGAGACUCCGUCCCAAACACAAACAAGCAAACAAACAAACAAAAACAAAAGAAGUAAAAAGAUUCUGCUAAAAGCAACCUUUAUAGUGCUUCAGAAAACUUACACAGUUUUCUCUGUCCAUUAUUUUUGUCAGAGUUGGGGAGGGGUUAUUUGUUUUUGAGUAUGUGCAUGUGUGUGUGUGUGAGAGAGAGAGAGAGAGAGAAAAGAAUAGAAUAGAAUCCUAACAAUCUAUAAUGAGAAGAAAGCUAAAUGAUCUAGUCCAGUGUUUUCAAAAAUUUAUUUACUUAACCCCCACAGUAAUGAAAACAUGUUCCACUGGACCCAGAAUACAGAUACACAUAUAAAAAUCAAAAGUGAAGUAUUUUACAAAAAAAAGCAGAAACAAACUAAAAUACCUAUUCUUCCUGUAUGUAAGGAGCCCUACUUUUUUUACCGCAUUCAAUUUCAUUUUUAGAAUGCUUGUCAAGACCCUGUAAAUUGAUUUCCUGACUGAUUAAUGAGUUGUUGCCUGCAGUUUGAAAAAUACUAAUUUAGUUCAACUUUCAUUCUGAUUCAGAAAGCUUUUCCUAAUUACAGAUUAGUAAAGCAAUAUCUCUAAAUUAGUACAUAGAUCCCUUUCUCUGUAGACCUCACCUUUCUGAUGCAAUGUCCCAAACAUAUCUGCCUAAUUCCUUUACAUACAGACCAAGGAGCUGCUAACAUCAGGUGUACAUAGAGGAGACUUCAUUAAGCUGAGAAUCAGUGAUCUGGAGAAAGCAGAACAUUGGCCUCUCAGACCCCUGGGAUUUUCUACUAGAAAAGCUUGAAAGUCCAAAUAGAUCCAAAUUUGAAGUCCAAAUAAUAGAUCUGAAAGAUUCAAAGUUUGGGUGGGUGACAGAAAGAACCUUGUCAUAGGAUUUGAGAGACCUGAAACUCGACCCAUGUGACCUGAGCUUCCCAAAUACUGAGCCAUGGAGCAGUUGCCUUAGAAUCGCCUGGAGACCUUUUUAAUGUAUAAAUUCCUGGGCCUCAAUCCAAGAAUUAUGAUGGAAAUAUGAACAUUUUAAAAGCUCCCUGCAUGAUCCACAUGUGACCAUGAUGGGUAAUUUCUGAUUUGGGCUUUCUGAACCCCGGGAACUUCUUCUAGAGAAUGGUGGUAAGAUCUGCCUCCCUGCCAUGAUUGUUAUGGAGAACAAAUGAAAUACUGGAUGUAUGACGAGUUAAUGGUUGCAGCACACCAACAUGGCACAUGUAUACAUAUGUAACAAACCUGCACGUUGUGCACAUGUACCCUAGAACUUAAAGUAUAAUAAUAAAUAAAUAAAUAAAUAAAUAAAAAGAAAUACUGUAUGUAAAAGCCCCAAAACAGUCAAAAGCCCUACAGGUGCAAGAUACUAACGUAAAGAUAUAUCUAAUGCUCUCUCCUGGCUCACCUCGAAAAUUACUAAUAAUAACUAGAUGUCUAAAAAGAGAGAUUCUUUUCUUGUAGUAAGUUUGCACAUUUAGCUCAUGGCAAUACCAGAAAUUUCCUAGAACUUAGGAAGAAUAUUUUACAUAAAUUUUUAGAAAUGUUAGGAAAUUAAGCCCUCAAUUAAAACUUUGGCCUCUCUGAAAGAAAAUAACAUUCUGUGCUCUAGUUAUUACCUGUGGGAAACAAUGGGGUUUGUUUUUGUUCUUGUUUUCUCUGCCUUUCAAAUAUAUAUUAGAAGAAAGAUAUAAGAAAGUUCACCUUAUACAUCCUGCAAGUAGGUGAAGCCUAAAUGAAUCAGUCCUAAAAUAGAUGAUAAAUGUUAAGCUAAUGCUUUUUGACAAGCAUUUGUCUUGGAGAAAGAGAAAGAAAUAGAAUGUUCAGUUUUUGAGGACAAGGUAUUAACAGUUUCUCAGGCUAUUUAUGGAAAAAAACUUAUUUCAGUUCUUUCAUGGUGCUUAUCAAGUAGAGAUUUUUAUUUAAUAAGCAUUAGAUGUGUACUAGGGUUAUAUAGAAAUCACAUCCUAUGUAAGAAUUAUAUAUCAAAUCCCAUACUUUCUGAGUGACAGAAUUUGGACAGUAUCUAUGUUAGUGAUCCACAAAGUUAAAUUUUCAUUUUAAAAAUGAGCAAACAAUGCUUUCUCAAUGGUUUCAUAUAUUAUAAAGAAUUAAAGAAUUUUUUAACUGAAACUAAAGGACUAGAAUUAGAAUAUUCACUUGUAUUGCUUCUGAUACAGCAUCAGAAAUAUAAAUCUAGAACCGAUCACACAGACCACACACUGUACUGGAAACACAUUAAGAGCUAUGAAACACAUUGAGAGAUGCUUGAUUAAAAGCUUAAUAUAAAUUCUCAGGGUAGAAAGCCUAAUUUUUUUAAGCAAAAUGAUUAAAGCAAGGUCUAGAAUGGAAGAAUAAAUUAGUUAGAAAAAGAGACCAAUCUAAGUGUGGUUAAGAUUAUUAUCUUUGAUAGAUCUAUGUCUAAACAAUUACUUUCCAACUUUCCCCCAAUAUCUUAAUAACAAAAGUUGCUAUGGAGUAUUUUGUUUUCAUUUUAAAUAGCUAGAUAUAAUCAACACCUAGCUGCUUUAUCAACUUCAGAUGAACUUUGGAAUGUGUUAGUGGAGGGAAUAUACUAAGAAUCGGAAAAGAGUCCAGAGGAUAUGGACUACAGUGUUUUGUCUUCUUUCCUUUUAUUCCAUAAUUGAUCAGAGAAUAACAACACAGAAAUAUGUGUUGGGCAGCACAUUAUAGUUUAUGAAUCCCCGUUAUAUGUGUUAGCUUAUUUCACUUUCAUGGUAACCUGGUGAAAUAGGUAGGAUCUGUCUCUGGAAAAAUAUCUCUAAGAUAUGCUAAAUAUGAUGAGAUGUUUAAGAAGAAAAAGUGCUGGGGAGGGAGGGACAUGUUUCUACCGAUAAAAGAAGUUACUUAAUUUCUCAUCCCUUGGGUUUAUUACCAGAGUUCUGAGUUUCGUCUCAUAAUGUAGCAAAAUAUUCCAUGCAAGAAACCACUAGAAUGCACCAGCAAAAGGAAGAUGCCGAAAUAAUGAAUGAAAAAGCAUUUCCAUCAUGGUCGUCUCAGACAAUGAGAUUCCUCCACAGAGAAACAACAUAGCAUACUACCAAGUCAAAUAACGUGAAAAUACCAAAAGAGUCAAAAUGGACAAUUUAUAUGGUUUAAAUUUUUUAAAAGUCGUUUUCUACAUUAAGCUGUGUAAACUUCAAUCUGAACCCUCACUCUACCAUUGCUUUGUUAUGUGACCUUGACCAAGUCCGUUUAACUUUCUCUCAACCCAUUUUCUCAUCCAAUGGUAAAUAGACAAAAUAAUGCUUAUCUCAUAGGAUGGUUGGGAUGAUGAAGUAUGUGAUGUAAUGAAUAUCCAAUUCACAAACUAUCACCACUUUGUAAAAAUGUGAGUUACUGAAUUGGAUCAGCAGUGGGUUAACUGGUUGUUUGUACAGUCUGAGACAUCUCAGUCUUCUCUGGUCAACCUGUAGCCCCUUACUUCUGACUGUGAAUCAUUUUGAGUUCUUUCCGCUCCCUCAAGCCAACAUCCAAUCAUUCACUUAGUUUUUCCUACUUUAUCUCCUAAAUAAUUCUUUAAUCCACUAUUUUUCUACUUCUCCAUUUCUAUAGCACUGUCCUCUUUUAGGGCUCCCAUCAUAUAUUUUGACUAAAUAGUCACCAUGUUCUCUAAACUGGUCUCCUUAUGUCUAGUCUUUGCUCUUCACUUCAUCUUCCCUGCUAUGUACAAAUCUAACCCCAUAAAUGUUUCACUAACAUUACAUUUGCUUCCCAGGGGCUUUCAACAUGAAGUCCAAGCCACUUCCAUGGAACAAAGGGACCCCCAUGACCUGACCCUUUAGCCCCAUCUCCUGUCACUGUCUUCUUCUUAUUUAGUGUUAUUUACAAAUAGCAAAUAUUUUUAGUUAUUCAUACACAGCAUCCAUUUCAUCCUUCUGUGUAUGACUUUGGGAGACAUCCUCUGAGUAGACAUUAAAGGCUUUUCAUCUGACCAGCCAAUUGCUCUAUGGCAGUAAUUCCCAGAUAAAGCCCCUUACCUUACCCCAGGUACCUCCCUUAAGGGGUAGAGAAAUUUAAAAAAUUAUAAAGGGGGAGUUGUCAAGGCAGAAAAGAGAGAUGUGACACCCCCAAGUCAUCUUCCUAAAGAAUUGUGAUGUGGCUUUGUUUUUAACCUGGAUACUUGAAUUAAGGGGAUUGAUGCCUCAGUCAUUAUAUCAAACUGUGUUUUAAAGGUGUAUGAGAGGAGGCAGUCUGGAUGUCACAAAACUACUGCGCUAUCUAGUGUGUCUCAGAGCCCUUAACAAACACAGCCCAAACAAUGACUCACAACCCCUUUAUAGCCCAAAACAAGCUGGUAUUUUUGUCAUGACCGUUCAUCAAGGUUUUUAUUUUUGAUCCAGAAGGACAUGUAGGUGAAGGCUAAUUUGGUGUCUGAGGGUGAAUGGAAAGAGGAUACAACGUUUUAGCAUUAUUGCUCAAUACCACUGAUUAUGUCUGUGGUUCAAUUAGCCGUGUCUUGAGAGAAAAGGCAGUGUGAGUCUGAACGCUCCCGGACUGAGGCCCAGUUUUCCAGGUAAAGUUUCGAUUGCUUCGCGGUUCAGCCAAGACCACCUAACCUCGAUGUUGGAAUUCACCUGAGUAUUCUAGAAGCUUUGAAAGCUGCAGGUCCAGCAAAAGCACGGUGGCUGUGUAAUAGGAACAGAUGGAUGACUAGACCAGCCAGAGGAAAAAUAAGAAGGUUCCAUGAGGGAGACAUGACAGAGGGCUUGGCUGAUUGACUGUAAUUUACAGCAUCCAUCAUCAUGAGUCCAGAAACAGAUACUGUGUAUUCUAAGCCUGACUCAGGCUCUGAUUCCUUCCAAGGUGUUAAGCAGCUCAUUUAGUAUCUGACGAAGAGUCAUCAUAAUGCUCAGCAUAGCUGGGUUGUCUCUGCCAAGAUAAUUUAUCAUUCACUGUUUUUACACAUUAAUGCAAAAACUAUAUAUAUUGAGUUCCUACAGAGUGAGGGACUUAAGUUGGGGUUUGUGGAUACAUUUAGGCAGCCUGUAAACUCCCAGGAAUGUUAUACACGGAUUAGUAGAUAUGUUCUUGCCUGUAUUUUAUGAGAGGAUUUAUAGCUUUUAUUAGAUUCUCACUGGAGUUUGUGACCAAAAAGAGAUUAAGAGUCACUGCUAUAUGGUGUAAGACUUAUCAUACCAUGUUCAUGAAUAUGUUUUUCCUAGAAUCUUAAAAGACAUACCCUGAUGAAAAAGGGAUUGGAGCCAUGCACUGUUUCUGUGAACUGUACUACGUUGUAAAAGGAAUUUUACUACAUUUGAUUCUCAAUAACAGAAUUCGAGCAGGCAUUCCAAGUUGUUUCUUAAUUGCUGAUGAAACAUGCUUGAGUUUAUAGUACUCUUCUCCUAACCAUAAACUUUUCCUCACUCUCUCAUAUUUCAAAAACGAAACACUGUUUAGUUAUCUCAAAUGAAAAGUGCCUCGAGGACAAGGAACCAGGACUUGGAGUUUUAUCACCCACAGUGUUCAGGUAGCCCAGUAUCCUUGCAUAUGCAUUAUUUAUAAAUAAAACCUGCUAGACACUGGGGUGUGGUCUCAGGCAGACAUGAACAGCAAGCUAUGUCAGAUGUGGCCCACCAUUGGCCACUAGCUGAAUGACAGAGGAUGCACCAUAGCGGUGGAGUGGGUUUGGCUGGAAAUUGAUGGCUGAAAGUAUUUGAAGUGAAAAACCAGAAGUCAUCUUUGUCACUCUGUCACUAAAAUAAAAACUGACAAUUCAGAGAUAGAAACAGUACUGCUUUUCCCCUUGCCCUCUGGCUGGAUAUAUUCUGUGACAGGGGAUUCUCCGAAAGGUCUAGAGUAAUGCCCCACCCCCCUACACCAUCACCACCAGGGGACACCCUCCACAAAGAUGCCUGACAACUGGCCUCUUCAUAUGCUUUAGAGGUGAAGCCUACUUAAAAAGUUAGCACUUGGUGGAAAGGGGAUAUUUGGUUCCCAUUUGCCAUCACUGACAGUUCUUUCUAUUGCUUUUUAUUUUCUCUCUUCAUUUAAAUUUCUUUCUCUAUAACAACACUAGCAAGAAAACUGAGUAGAUCAGACAGAACAGACCAGAUAGAGCAGAUGUUCCCAGGAGUGCUGGGAGAGGAGAAUAGGGGAAGCAUGCGGGGAUCACCAAAGAUCUUGUGAGCUGAGUUCAGCGUGUACAUGGUCAAGGCAUUGUGUACCCCAGAUGCCCACUCCUCAUCCACCCAUCCAGACAGCGUGAAAAUGGGGCAAGAAUACUGGCCUUGGGUUUCCAAGAGUCCAAAUGUGACCCAGGCUCAUCACUAUCUAUCCAUGCCAUGUUGGCAAAUUGCAGGACUUCUCAGAGAGGUCUUCCUCAUCUGCAAAGUGGAGAUGAUUACACCCACUUCACAGUGUAGUACUGUGAGUUUCAUGUGAUAAUGCAUGAAAAGUACAUGGCAGGCAUUUAAUAAAUGCUAGCUUACAGCUAGCUCUUCUUAUUUCACAGAAUCUUAUUUUCUGGGAGAUUAAGAUGUAUCCUUUUAAAACCUCAUAUCUGAUGAUAAUAUUUCUAAUCUGUAAUAUGUGUAUAUAUAUUCUUGCUAAUACAUUUCUUAAGCAAAAAUAAUUACACAUAAUUUGACCUAUAUUUUGAUGAUGAAAAGUUACAUUUUUGUAACUAUUUUAAACCAUUUUAAAAGCGCUUUUUACAUUGAUCAUUGUUUAGAAUAUCAAUUAACACACUGUGCUAUAAUUCAGCAGAGCUACCAGACACUGUUGUUCUGCUUCGGGCUGCUGGCCUAAAGAUAAAAGCUCUCUGGUUUUCUGAAGUAUAUGAUGUUUCAUUUCCCCUCUGGCAGCUCCCAUUAAUACUUAUGUUUAACUUUGCCCCCUUGGCUCAUUCUGAUUUUCUGCUGUUUUUCUAGUCUGGAAAAGAGAUUAACAAGAUUUUCGCUGACCUUAAAACGGGAGGAGGCACUGAGUGAGAGUGUGAGGGUCUCUUCAGUGUUGUAUGGACUCGCCAUGCCUUAUCUCACCUUUCCUUCUGCUUCUUCAUUUACUUUGCUGUAUUUUUAGGGUGUUUGCUGUAUGUAUGAUACAUGCUCUUUUACAAGUGUAGAUUAGCAAGUAAGUAUUUAGUCGAGGUUUUUUUUCUCAGUAAUGGAGGAAGUCUUAAUUUAAAAGCUCCUGGUUUGGUCACUUAUAUCCCACAGGGAUGAAGGUCACUUAUAUCCCACAGGGAUGAAGGUCACUUUUGACACUUGAGCCUUUGCUUGGCUUGGAGCCCUCUUCUCAGUAUGGUGAAUGUUCCAUCUGCAGUCAGGACACUGAACUAGGAUCACCAAUGGGCACAAGAUGAAUGAGAUAAAACGAAUGCCUUCAAUUGGCUUAAAAUCUAAAAGAACAAAGACAAUGUAAACUGUAAUAUGAGGCAAAAUUUGAGAAGUUUUAUAAUGAAGUCUUAAGUGAAAUUUGGAAGAAAGGGAAAAAUAUCCAUUUUGAAAUCCAACUUCCGGCAGGUAUAGUGGGCCAUUUCUGAGCCAGCUUGGGAAGGGGAAGGUUUCUGUGGCCAUAGUUUGAAGACAAAGUCAUCCAAAGAGAGAGUCAUCCAAACAGAAGCAAAUAUGUAGAGCACAAAUGUGCAGACUUGUUUAGGGAAUAGAAAGAAUUUUUGUUUGGUUUCAGAGUGGAGUGCUUAGAGUUACUGUGACAGAUAAAACUGGAGAAAUACAUCAGACCAGGUCCUAAUGCCACACCAAGUAAGGAGUUCUGUGUUCUGGUGACUUCAUAACAGAUUGAAUUCUGCGAAAUCACAGAGGUUUGCACUAGUUAAGCCAAAUGGGAGAACUGAACAAGAUGCAUGGAUGUAUUUAGAUGACUAGCAACUCAACAGAAGAGACUAGAGCUAGCCUCUGGUUUCAACUGAGUUUCAGAGGAGAAAUAUCUGGGCCAACCUGACUAGGAUGCUAGCAAACUUUUGAAUUCAGCAUAUAAUUUAUCUUGUAAAUGUGACUAUUUUAGAAAAAACAAAAUACAUUUGUGGAGAGCACCACACAAUUAACUUCAUUCAGAUUUGGCAUUUGGAUCUUGGCUUUUCUGGAGAUCCCAUUUCUAAUGAUAUCUUAUUCUGGGCUUUUUUUUCAUCAUUAUUAAAGUCACCCUUUACUUUCCUUCUGCCUUUGAAGUUACAAUCUCGUCAGUUCAAAGUCUUUUUAGAGCACUUAACAGAAAAUUUAAUCAAAACGCUGAGCCAAAUUUCAGCUAAAAAGUUAUUAGCGUCACUGGAAAUGUGAGUCAGAUUUUCAGGUAAUGCUAUUCAGCCAAAUAGGGUUCACCACACUGUUCUAGACAUUUAGAAAAUAAUUAGAUAUAUUUAGUGUAGAAGUAGAUACAAAAACCAUACUCAGAAAAACUAAAGCUACUCUAUAUGCUGGAGUACCACAGAAACUAGGUAUGAGUUUGUGUUCUCUCUAGGUAAAGAUAUCAACAUUUGUUUUUCUAUGUGAUUAUAUAUAGUUACUUAUUACACAUAUAUACCUCUCAUAUUUAAUGAAGCAAGUUGGUAAAGCAUACCAAACUGAAGUAAAGGGAUGAAAGUUUGAGACCAGGCUCCCCUAAAAUUUUCUGUGUGGCUGUGGGCCUGUUGUUUGAAUUUCCCUGGAGUUCAGUUUUGCUCAUCUUACCGAACCAGACAUUGAUCUCUUACCUGAUGUUAUGUAAUUUAGCUACCCAUUAGUUGUGUCUUAUCAUUGCCCCUUUCUAAUCCUUCAGUGGAAACUGAUUAAAAGUCACCAUACAAGAACAGGAACUUUUUGCUUAAAUUAGGAUUUUAGCAGGAAAGAGAAGGAAACAAAACACUUUAAAGUCUUCUUCAACCAUCAGCUUUAGGGGAAAAAAGGAAUUCAGUAAGUCAUAGUAUAGAUUUUUUUUUUUUAAUUCCAUCGAUUUUAAGGAUUAUCCUGGGGUCAAAUUUCACAUUCAUAUUCAAUUUCUCAAAAAUAUUUAUUGCAUGAAAAAGAAUUAAAUAAUGGCAUUUGCAGUUACCUGGAUGGAAUUGGAGACCAUUAUUCUAAGUAAAGUAACUCAGGAAUGGAAAAUCAAACAUUGUAUGCUCUCACUCAUAAGUGGGAGCUAAGCUACAAGGAUGCAAAGUCGUAAGAAUGAUGCAAUGGACUUUGGAAACUCGGUGGGAAAGGGUGGGAGGGGGGUGAGGGAUAAAGGACUACAAACUGGGUACAGUGUAUACUACUCAGGUGAUGGAUGCACCAAAAUCUAAGAAAUCAACACUAAAGAAUUUAUUCAUGUAAUCAAACACCACCUGUUCCCCAAAAACCUAUGGGAAUAAAAAAUAAAAAUUAAAAAACCAAAAUAUUUAAUGUGAUAAGUGAUUGAUUUUGCUAAGUUUCUGAAUGCAUGAUUUAUUUAGUCUUCAUAGCUAACCUGUGAGAUAAGAUCCAUUUUGUGGAUAUGAAUACUGAGGCUGAGAGAAGUAUAAGUUUAUUCAUAGUAACAUAAGUAGCAAAUGGCAGAACCAGUUAAUUAUGUGGGAGUAGAGCUCAGGGUUGCAGAGAAGGGAUAACGGGGUUUAAAAACAACAGCUAGUUGACUUCCAAAGAGCCAAGCUUCUCUUCUGUGUAGUGCAGAGCUGUUGCUGGGGAGUGGCUUCACAGCCAGGGACUUUGUUUCCAGUGUCUCCCAUGUAGGUGAGGCCACAUGGUCCAUAAGCCAAACUCUUGCUGGCCAACAGUAUAUAGCACAAUUCUGUCUCUUCCUGGCUGAAGUGGUAAAGUAUCUGAGGUGACUUCUUCACAUUCUCUUCCUUUUCCGUGGCAAUCUUGGAGGCCAUAUCUCAAAGGUGAUAGCUUCAUGCGAUGGGAGAAGUCUAUGUGAACAGAUCGGAUGGACACAAGAAAGAGACCUAACAGCACUCUCUGAUGGUUUGGCUGUGAAAAGAAAGAAUCAAAGAUACUUCUUAGGUUUCUGGAUGGAGCAUCUCGGAGGAUGUUGGCACCAGUUUACUUGGAGAGGGAACGCUGGCAAAAGAACUGGCUGGGGAGGAAGAUGACAGAUUCAGCUUUAGUUUAUACAUGCCUCAUGUGAACACUAGAUUGUCUUGAUAGAUUACUGAAAAUUAAAUGUUACAGAAUCUUAGAGUCAGUAUUAUUCAACAGAAGUUGUCCUAGUCCACUUGUGUUGCUAUAAGGAAAUACCUGAGACUGGGUAGUUUAGAAAGAGAAGGUUUAUUUGGCUUUCGGUUCUGCAGGCUGCACAAGAAGCACGGCACCAGCUUCCAGUGAGGACCUCAGGCUGCUUCCACUCCUGGCAGAAGAUGAAAUGAAGCCAGUGUGUGCAGAGGUCACAUGGUGAGAGAAAGCAAGAGAGAGGAGGGGAGGAGGUGCCAGGUUCUUUUUAACAACCAGCUCUCAUAGAAAUUAACAGAGUGAAAACUCAUCCACCGCUUUGAGAAUGACACCAAAUCAUUCAUGAGGGAUCCUCACCCAUGACCCAAACACUUUCCACUGGCACCACUUCCAACAUCAGGGAUCAAAUGUCAACAUGAGAUGUGGAAGACAAACAUCCAAACUAUAACAGAAGGAAUCGGAAAGCAUACUGUUGGAUGGUUUGUGAAGAGAUGUGGAUUUUCCUCCCCUUUCUGUAUUAACAAAGGAAGAGAAAGACCUUACCAUUUGAAAUGGGUUGGACUCUUUACUUUUAUAUGAUGUAUACUAUGACAGUUUACUAUUUCUCAACUCUCAACUAAAAUGGUAAUAAUAAUUAUAUCAAUAAAUGAUAUUAAUUUUU
Homo sapiens (human) is the source of this 18410-nucleotide long non-coding RNA. RefSeq lists it as uncharacterized. The transcript has 2 exons. Lineage: Eukaryota; Metazoa; Chordata; Mammalia; Primates; Hominidae. The record is from RefSeq and is a predicted model, not a curated record.